GGGGAAUAUUGGACAAUGGGGGGAACCCUGAUCCAGCCAUGCCGCGUGUGUGAAGAAGGCCUUAUGGUUGUAAAGCACUUUAAGCGAGGAGGAGGCUCUUUUGGUUAAUACCCAAGAUGAGUGGACGUUACUCGCAGAAUAAGCACCGGCUAACUCUGUGCCAGCAGCCGCGGUAAUACAGAGGGUGCGAGCGUUAAUCGGAUUUACUGGGCGUAAAGCGUGCGUAGGCGGCUUUUUAAGUCGGAUGUGAAAUCCCCGAGCUUAACUUGGGAAUUCAAUUGGUACCGGGGAAGCUGGGGAGUGGAGAGGAUUGUUGGAAUUCCAGUGUAGCCGGUAAAUGCCUAGAGGUCUGGAGGAAUAACCAUUGCGGAGGCCACCAACUUGGCUAAUACUGACGCUGAGGUACGAAAGCAUGGGGAGCAAACA
RNAcentral lists this ribosomal RNA (426 nucleotides) under uncultured Acinetobacter sp. RNAcentral describes it as "bacterial SSU rRNA". It matches the Rfam family "Bacterial small subunit ribosomal RNA", at positions 356 to 774 of the family's 1533-position model. The record is from RNAcentral. Lineage: Bacteria; Pseudomonadati; Pseudomonadota; Gammaproteobacteria; Moraxellales; Moraxellaceae.